UACAGAGGUCUCAAGCGUUGUUCGGAUUCAUUGGGCGUAAAGGGUGUGUAGGUGGCGCCGUAAGUCGGGUGUGAAAUCUCGGGGCUCAACCCCGAAACUGCACUUGAUACUGCCUUGCUAGAGUACUGGAGAGGAGAUUGGAAUUUACGGUGUAGCAGUGAAAUGCGUAGAUAUCGUAAGGAAGACCAGUGGCGAAGGCGAAUCUCUGGACAGUUACUGACACUGAGGCACGAAGGCCAGGGGAGCAAACGGG
This 253-nucleotide ribosomal RNA is filed under the name uncultured bacterium. RNAcentral describes it as "partial 16S ribosomal RNA". It matches the Rfam family "Bacterial small subunit ribosomal RNA", at positions 524 to 776 of the family's 1533-position model. The record is from RNAcentral.